UCGAGAUGCGCGGAUGCGUAGCCUACCGCAAUGUUCGAGUUGGUGAUGCUCUCCCUCCACUACUUUCUGUUCUUUUCUCUCUUUCCAUCUUUCUUCUCCCUCGCCUUUUUUUCUCCUUUUUUACCACCUCUUUACCUCUAUCUCGCUCGCUUCGAGUUUUUUCUUUGCCCUUCGAGUAGAGCUUCAUAUUUCUUUCUUUCUCGUUCUUUGCCUUGUUCUGAUGGUUUCGCGAGAGGGAAAGCUAUUUUUCCGUCUAUUGGGAUAGGACACACGAAGCAGUCUGCAAGCGCCGUUCUCAUGACAUUAACCUUCGAUCGUCGACGUUAGAAACAGCGGGCGGUGACGUGAAAUAUAGGUUGUUUUAACGGGAGUUUUUUUUCAGACUAACUUGACGGAUCAAGGAAAGAGAACACGUUUUCUCGAUCAUUCCUUCGAGAAUUCGUUCGCGAUUGAAACAACUCUGUUGUCGGGUAAGCGAAACGAGCAAAUUGCUACACAUGUAUAUACACGCAUUCCAACCAACCGUUUCCCUCUAAUCCCUGACAUUGUCUUCUUGAGGAUGAAUUCAACAAGCAACAGCAGGUCUCUGCAGCGUAUAGGAAGACUGGGGCGCACAGAAACGAGACUGGAACGAUUGCGUAUGCAUGGUACACACAAUAGGUGAACGUGCGUACGAGUUCGUGGCAGAAAGGAACUUCCAAUUCGACGUCUCGUUGCAGCCGGUAAACACAGGUGCAACGAAAACGUCGGAAGUGUUUUUGCAACGGGGCAUACAGAGUGAACCUUGAGAGUGACCGAUUUCGUAAUCCCUUCGCGGCUCGCUUCUCUGGCGUGGUUUCCAUUGUAAUGCAAGUUAAAAAACGAUCUUCGAGAUCGUGUUUGUUGAGGUUAGAGUGAAUGUGUGUUCGGGAUGUUAUCCUGCCAGGACGAUUUCAAGAUUUCAUUCUGGAAACGUAACGAACUGCGGACGAAGGGCUUGUUCAUCAGCUAGAGAUUCUCGAUCCCUUUUCUGAUAAACGAAAACGAGGUUGACCUUAAUUGCAUUUCCUGCCAUCGAACCUGCGAUUCUAUUGUUGCCGAAAAGCGUUUUUCGCAGACUUCACAUGCCACGAUCAACGAUUCCACGGAACAAGAUAAUACACUUUCGGAAAAAGCGAAGAAUCUCCAACGAUCAAAAGGUAUCGACGAGGAACACGAAAAGCAGAAAAAGGGAGGAGGAAGAAAGAGGAAGAGGAGAAGAGGAGGAGUAGGGGGAGCGGCAUUAGGAGGAGGAAACGGAGGGCAGACGAGGAGGACUCGCACGAAGACGGAGAAGAAGAAGAAGAAUCCCCCUUGGCUCACGUCCGCGAGAACCGGAAAGAUUCCCUCGAUCCGCUACGAACGGCUUCCAAGCCGAUCUGAAUCUGUCCUUCUCGAACAACAACGACGCCACGUUUCAACGCCACGAUUCAAUUAAAUCGCGAGGGGUUAAGAGCCACAACCGGUAACCGGGGAGUCGGUGACUCCUAGGUAUCCUUGAAAUCGUAUCUCCUGCUACAUCCUCGCCGCGUUUGCAUGCCUGCUCAACCAUUGACGUCACAACAGAGUGCAACGGCGCGGCGAGGCCCGACGAACGUCCGACGAAUUUCAAUCUCUCCCGGAACGAUUUCGAACACGUCGCGCAUUUCCAAGCGGAUAGCAACGCGACGAGAGGAAGAGUGGAAAACAGCCGGUGGGCCCAGGCGAGGGGGUUGAGGGAGGGGAGCAGGUCCUCCCCCUCCCUCCUCUCUUUUUCGUUCGAGCAAAAAUACGCUUCAUUUGUGUCACGGCACGCUGCGUCAUCCGAGCGCGGUUAAAAGUGACUCAGGUUUUAUUUCCUGCUUCGAGUUCUAGUUACUACGCUCCCGGCUAGUCGGCGGAUAGCGCGAAUCGAUAACACUUAUCCUCUGCACGGGUCGAAACAAACCCGAGGAACGUUCAACCGGUCGACGAGAUUGCAAUACGCGCGCUCGAGUUGUGGGUCGAUCGCUAAUCGCACAACGAUCCCUCCUUUCUCCUCCACGAGUGGGAGUGGGGCAUGGUUAAUUUUUUGGCAGAAAUCGAGCAUAAUUUUCGAUGUAAUCUUCGAGAUCGAGAGAUUGGAGAAAUUGGAAUUUGAUCGAUCGAUUUUGGAAAUUUUUCUUUUUUCUUGUAAAGUAUAUCUGUUUGGUAUAGAGAAACUGAUUUGUAUCUACGCACGGUAGGAUACAGAAGAUUUGGACAAGGUUAACUCUGUAUGUAUAGUAAAUAUAUCUGCAACUUUAUUAUUUGUUUUUGACACUGAUCUCUAUGUAUUUUAAGAAUUACGAUAUCAAAGUGUCAAAAUAUGUGGAGAGAUAAAUCACGUUUAUUUUUAUUGCUACUUUAUCAUAAACAUAAGGAUUUUGACACUGAGGAUGUAUAUUUUUCCAUCGUGUCGCGGAAAAUACUUAUAUUUUAAAGUAGUAAUUGGUUACGAGAGGUUUCAAGAGAGGAAAAUUAUUGAAUUCAAUUCGUAUGACCAUGCACCAUAUAAAAUAUUGCGAGUUCUACCGUUAAGGGAACGAUCUGGUAUCGUAAUCUAAAAAGAGACGACUGUUUGUCUGUUUUUCGAGGUUGAAAUCAAGAGGAAAAUCCACGAAGCAAUAUUCUCGCGGCAUUUCGAGCUACAAAGUAUUAUCGCCUCGAUCCGCGACGAUGUUUGUUCGUCGAUGUUUCCCUCGUUCGUUGAAAAACUGUGGCGAUAAAGUUGUGCCGGUAAUUCGAAGAUAAACAUCGCGACGAGAGUCGAGCUUACGUAAUAAAAACUGUUUGUUUAUUGAUCGCAUUUUUUUUUUUUUUUUAAAAAUACGAGAUCGAGAUCCUCUGAACCUCCGAAAACUCCGAUGAAAGUAAAAUUCAUUCGUAUCGUUCGUCGUGGAUUUAUUUUUUAGGCUUGUAGAUUGUCAUUACAUGAGAAAACAAAGUCGAGGGAACGCUCUUAAAAUCUUUCGAUUUAAAUUUCGCGCGAAAAAAAGAAGGAAUUUUUAAUCAAUAUAUUUACGAAUGACGUAAAUUAAUAUAUCACUGCACGAAUAAUUAAAUAUUCGCCAUUGCUGUUCAUCGAUCAAUCGAUCGAAAAUAUGUCGACAUGAAUUAUCGAGAGUCUUGGAGACUCGAGGAAUCGAACUCGAGUAAAAUUACUCACGGAGUCAAAUCAACUUUUAUUUUUCCAAUUAUAUAAGAAUAUAAUUUUACAUAUUACCACACGUUUAAAAUAUAUCUUAAUUUCAGGUUACCGAUUCUACGUGCAAACAACACUCGUUUCAAGGAAAAAAACUCUCUUUACGUCAAGCAUCGGGAAAAAAGUAUUCCAAACAAGUGCAUCGUGAAACGAGGCGAGCAGUGUUCGCCAUGAUCGGUCCAAAGUGGCACACGGCGCAUUUGACGGGCCGAUCUUGACGUGGAAAUAAGCAGACAGCUAUUCAAACGUGGCGCAAAUCGAAAGUGAUUCGAUCGAGAUCGCCGACUACCGUAUGCAUAGACGCAUCUACGCGCACAUCCAAACGCGUGUACGCACGCGAGCCUGUUUAAGGAGAUAGUGGCAAGCGUGCAGGUAGGCGCUCGCACGAGACGACGUUUCGGGUCGGGAAACGAAUCGCUCGCGCGCGUGAUCCUCCGUUUCCAUUAGUGCACGCACGUGCAACGCUCGCUACGUGUUGUUACUUACGUACGUGUGCGGGCAAGCGAGCGAGCGAGCAGUUCGUUCGCCACGCUAGCCCUGGCCUAGAUAAGCUACUUGGCUUUGCAUCGUUGCAUCGCUUUAAGCCCGACUCACGCGCCACCGAUCUAUCGCCGUCCUUUUCCCGCCACUCGUUGCACGCGUCCAUGCUUCUCCCUCCGGCGUUAUCUCCAACGUAUUAACACGAGGUAAUAAUAUACAUUUUUUUCGCCCAAAAUUCCCUCCGAGUUUGUUGACAGUUGAUCGUGGCGCGUCAAUUCGCGCUAUAUUUAUAUAUUCUCUUAUCCAUUGUGAUCUUCAUGAUUCUUUUUUUCAGAGGUGUUAGGAUAGUUAUCGAAUAUCUUUAUUUUUAAGCUGAUGUCUGUGGCUUAUUAUAACUCAUCAUUAUCGCGCCUUGAUGUUAAUUUGGCACGACGAGUGAAAUUAGCCGAAAGAUUAAUCCAGGGGGGUUUAAAUUUAAAUUCGAAAGAAACGAUGGGAAAAGCAAAUUGCUGGAAAUGAAAUGUUUGGAUUAAUUUUAUUACGAUCGGUUUUAAUUUAGAGAAAAAUUUUCAAAUUUACUGCGCGCUAAAACUUCAAACAAAUUGUUAUCUUAACUGACCGAUGUUGUAUUAUCGAUUCUUUUAAUUUUCUAUUCUUUCGCUCUUUGGAAAUCGUUUGGAAAAAUACAUUGUUUCAACGUGAUCAAAGCGCACUUGCUAAUUUCCGUGACUGGCUCUCGUGACACCGUUUUCCUCGGUGUUAUCGUCUGUAUAGUUACGACAGAAAUCGAUAUUCUGUAAAUUACAUUGCUUCUCCUUUUUUUCUUUCUCCCUGUUUCUUUUUUUCUUUUCUUUUCUUUUUUUUUUUGGUAGAAAAACCUGGAUACAGACAAAUUCUAUUAGAAUUGAAGUUAAUUCGAAAUUUAAAUUUGAAUUUCAUGCGAAUUUAAACGUACUCGAUGAAAUGUAUUCAUUAUCUUUUCGCAUAUUUCUAAAAUUUAAAAACGUAUAAAAAAAAUAUUUCCAAAGAAAUAAAGGUCGAAUUUAUUCGAUCCAAUUUCAUCUGACUCGUACAAUUACACAGAUAUAUAUAUAUAUAUACAUUCAGCGAUGGUUCGAGAAAGGAAGUAUCUUUUUUUAGCCGAAGUAGGUAUAUACCAUCAUUGGAUAUCGAGGAUUGAUCUCGUUAGAAAGAAGAAAUUAAACGAUGUAAAUGAGCAAGAAGGGGAAACGAAAGGAAGUAAAAAAAAAAAAAAGAAAUCUCGGUCGAUGUAGCUUCAAGGGGAUUCCACAGUGAGAAGUUGGCUUAAGGUCGCGUGAAUCCGCACACCGCAACAGCGGACAGUGAAACUAUGCCGUUUUUUCUCCGGCUCUUUCCUUUUCUUCGAGCGACCAGCCGAGAGAGACCGAUUCGCCUUUCCCUCGCAGGCGAAUCUACCAGUGGAAGACCACUUUUCCCGUGGAUACGGCUACGAAAUCGACACUUUUCGCCAAGAGAUCCACGAAACUGGAUGCCAAGUUACGUUACGAGACCCGAUUCGACCGAAAAUCAACUCCCGUUCGCGUGAUUUGUCGUCAUUACACAGAUUUAGAUGCAUCAGAUCAACGCUUUCUUUUUUUUUCAAAUCCGUGCCUACUUUUUAAGAGAAUCUCCGAUAUAUAUAUAUAUUCAAAUUUCGAAUCAAUCAACUUUCUCCGGAAAAAAUUCUUUCAACAACGUCCCUUUCUUCGAUGAGAAUACAUUUCUCGGAUAAGUUUUCUCGUUGACCGAUUUCGCAAGAAAAUAUCCAUUGGCUCGUUGUAUCGAGCUGGUGGAAGACGAAUGGGUGGAUAGGCGGUGGCACGCGUUGACGCUUGUAACCAUCAUCGGCAGACGUAUUAUACCGUAACCUCGAUUCGAAUGAAAACGGUGUUACGCCAUUUUCCCUGUCAGUGAAAUGCGAUCUAUUUUCGCGGAAUAUCGGUGGUGGCACGAUAAGCUCGAGCGAUUCGCGCCUCUCUUUUCCAAACGGCGCGUUAAAAGCAUCGAGGAUCGAGCAUCUUCGUAUUUUUUUUUCUCCCCCCAAAUGAAGGAACAACCGGAAAAUGGACGCCGUUGACGCAACACGCCGAAAAUCAGGUCGAAUCGACACGACGAGAGUGCACACGAAGGCUUUACAAUCGUUGCGCGAUAAUAUUGGAAUUAAACGCGAUUAUCCUCCACGAAUCGCGAACGUUACGGGAAAUAUUACGCGGUCACCGUGCGCGGUACACGCACACACGACGCGAUGCCGGUAUCCGUGUGAGAUGGUCAUUCGACUGUCGGUGGUUAUACACUUGUGACGCGAAUUCCGAGGGAAAAAUCGAUUGCGAAACGCGCGCAUCGCACCGCUGUGUCUAAUAUCGCUGACAUCGAGCACGGAUUCUCUAGCAUCGACCGUCGAUCUUAAUUUAAAACGUGACGAAACAUUUGCAUAAUCCUCCCUGCUCGGCCCACGAGAGGCGCGUGUUACUACGAAAAAACGUCAUUGCCGGCCGGUUACAUCAAACCGUGUACACAUUCGCGUUGCGAGCAUCAUUAUUCAAUUUCCACGAACGUAAUCUGCCUUCGUGGCGAAUCCCCACAACGCGAGCCGUGAUUCAUCAUCGCGCAUCGAGAACUCUCCUCGGUAUCGGAGAAACAAUGCGAUAAAAGGCAGGCGAAGAGGGGAGGAAAUAAGAAGAAGAAAACAAAAGAGGAAAGAUACGAACGCGAAAGAUCGAACGCGUAGGAAAUCGUGGAAAGUUGGACGAGGCUCGGUCGGUUUUGGCGGGAUAGAACGCGAGGCGAGGCGGGUGCGCGUGCGCCUAUACCGUGCGGUGCAUCCGAGGCGCGCAUGCGCCGCUCGGCCGAUGCACGUGGUAAGUACAAGUAUGUCAAGGCGCGACCUGAAUUUUCCUACUCUCAGUGCCCCCUACCGUACUCCGUGCCUCUCCCCUCGCGCUCGCGCGCCGCCACUGUUGCUCCACGCUUACUCGAUGCCUGCCUCCUCCCACCCCUCCGCCACUCCCCUCGCUCGGCGACCAUGCGGUGCGCGCGUUGCAUCUACCUGCGCGCUCGAGAAUCCCGGUGACCACCACACGCACGUGCGUGUCCUGAGACGGCCAAACGGCCAACGUUCCUAUGCACGCGCGACGGUACAUGACUUUUCAUCGAUGCGUCCGGACCUUCUUCGUUCUUCCCCCACUCUCCUCCUCCUUCCCCUUCCCUCGAGCAAACCUGCUGCGGCUCGACCCGUAGUGCGUGCGCCUCCUUUUCUGGAAGGAUCGCUAUUCCUUGAUCCUCGACGAUCUUCCAUUUCUUUCGUCGAUCCUCCUUUUCUCCGUUGGAAUGGACGUUUUUUAAUAGCGAGGUAAUUGUGUGACGGGAUAUAUGUAUAUAUAUAUAUAUAUAUAAAGGAUAUCGCGAAAACGGGAAACAGGUUCUAGCGGAUGCGGAUCGAGGAAUUUUUGGUUUUAACCGAGAAACUUUUUCUUCUUGAUUCUGAGAUUAAACUGGCUAUUGCCUGGCAACUCGUAAAUCCAAGCUUACUUUAAUUUUCGUGUAAUUAUUAUUUUUUUAGCGAUCGAGAAAUCGAUCCAUCUGAUUCUAAUUCAAGAUGUAUGUACUACUCGCCAUCCCUAUUUACAAAUCGAACGCUCGAGGCCGAUCUCCGAUAUCCUAUUUGAGAUCUCGUUCCUAUUCUCGGCAGGCCGAGUUUUCCUCGUCAAUUUGUCACGGAAAAGGAAAGCGUUACGGUAUAUCUAGCCGAUCGAUCGAUCGUUCGAUGUCGUCGUCGUCAUCAAAGCGGAGGGGUCCCCUAGAAAGCUGCUCUCCCGCGACUUCGAAGGGAUCCCAAUCGGUGUUGCUCUUUUCCCUCUCGAGAGAGCACGCGUCCUCUUUUCUCGCUCGUUUAAACUUCGAUAAACUUCGUCGAAGUGAACGAGAGACACAAUUAUUGCUCAAAUUCACUCGAAACCUCCGCCUGAUUUCUUUUAUCCUUAUUCAUUAUUUUCAUUUCUUUUUUAUUUUCUUUCGCAAUCCAAUCUUUCUCAUUUCUUUCCUUUAUAUAUCCUCUUUCGUAGGAAAUCGUCGUAUGUUAUAAUUUGUCUCGGAGAAGUGGAACGGUGGGCAGCUGGCGACGAUCGUCGAGAUUUCGAGAACGGAAUCGGGCAUUAUGUGUGUUUCGCGAUCGAAAACGAAUCUGGCGGCGGCCACGGAAUUACGUAAUCGGAAUUCUUCGUGCAUUUCACGGCGCCCGAGUCUUACCAAGCUUUCAGGCCACGCGCGAUUAAACCUGUAACCUGUUCGUUGGUGGCCUCUGUUGCGUGGCCACCGCUCGAGCACGAAAAUUCGACACGUUGCAUUGGGUAAUCGCUAUCGUUUCGGGAGCAUCGGGAUUAAAGAUUAUUGCGCGUGUCGUGACACCGUACACAUACAAUAUAAUACAAUAUAUCGUAUUAAAUAAUGAUCGACGAAAUUAUUUUCUUUAUAUAUCUUUUUCUCAGAAGUGUAAUACAGAAUUUUUAAAUUUUGCUGCAACGACAGAUCUUCAUAUUUUCUUUCUCCCAAAAUAAAUUAAACCUGACGAA
Apis cerana (Asiatic honeybee) is the source of this 8289-nucleotide long non-coding RNA. RefSeq lists it as uncharacterized. The record is from RefSeq and is a predicted model, not a curated record. NCBI's taxonomy places the organism in Eukaryota, Metazoa, Arthropoda, Insecta, Hymenoptera, Apidae.